RNAcentral lists this unclassified non-coding RNA (378 nucleotides) under uncultured Nitrospiraceae bacterium. Its description in RNAcentral is "contains 16S-23S intergenic spacer region". Lineage: Bacteria; Pseudomonadati; Nitrospirota; Nitrospiria; Nitrospirales; Nitrospiraceae. The record is from RNAcentral.
UCCCCGUUCUCCUGGGCAGUCUCUCCAGAGUGCCCGGCAUGACCCGAUGGCAACUGAAGACAGGGGUUACGCUCGUUGCGGGACUUAACCCAACACCUCACGGCACGAGCUGACGACAGCCGUGCAGCACCUGAGCCGGCUUCCCUUGCGGGCUCAUCCCCCUUUCGAGGUCUUACUACCGGCAUGUCCAACCUGGGUAAGGUUCUUCGCGUUGCGUCGAAUUAAACCACAUGCUCCACCGCUUGUGCGGGCCCCCGUCAAUUCCUUUGAGUUUCAACCUUGCGGCCGUACUCCCCAGGCGGGGCACUUAAUGCGUUAGCUGCGGCACCGGCGGUAACCCGCCGACACUUAGUGCCCAUCGUUUAGGGCGUGGACUAC